RNAcentral lists this ribosomal RNA (520 nucleotides) under uncultured bacterium. Its description in RNAcentral is "bacterial SSU rRNA". It matches the Rfam family "Bacterial small subunit ribosomal RNA", at positions 8 to 518 of the family's 1533-position model. The record is from RNAcentral.
AGGGUUCGAUUCUGGCUCAGGAUGAACGCUAGCUACAGGCUUAACACAUGCAAGUCGAGGGGCAGCAUGACGAUAGCUUGCUAUGUUGAUGGCGACCGGCGCACGGGUGAGUAACGCGUAUCCAACCUUCCCCAUAGUAGGGCAUAGCCCGUAGAAAUGCGGAUUAAUACCCUAUGUUUUCCGAAGCAGACAUCUAAUUUGGAACAAAGGUUCACCGCUAUGGGAUGGGAAUGCGUCUGAUUAGGUUGUUGGCGGGGUAACGGCCCACCAAGCCAUCGAUCAGUAGGGGUUCUGAGAGGAAGGUCCCCCACAUUGGAACUGAGACACGGUCCAAACUCCUACGGGAGGCAGCAGUGAGGAAUAUUGGUCAAUGGGCGAGAGCCUGAACCAGCCGAGUAGCGUGCAGGAAGACGGCCCUAUGGGUUGUAAACUGCUUUUAUGCGGGGAUAAAGUUGGCUACGUGUAGCCAUUUGCAGGUACCGCGUGAAUAAGGACCGGCUAAUUCCGUGCCAGCAGCCGC